GAUGAACGCUGGCGGCGUGCUUAACACAUGCCAGUCGAACGGAAAGGCCGAAGCUUGCUUCGGUACUCGAGUGGCGAACGGGUGAGUAACACGUGGGUGAUCUGCCCUGUACUUCGGGAUAAGCUUGGGAAACUGGGUCUAAUACCGGAUAUGACGAUCUCUUGGAUGGGGUUGUGGAAAGCUUUUGCGGUAUGGGAUGAGCUCGCGGCCUAUCAGCUUGUUGGUGGGGUAAUGGCCUACCAAGGCGUCGACGGGUAGCCGGCCUGAGAGGGUGUACGGCCACAUUGGGACUGUGAUACGGCCCAGACUCCUACGGGAGGCAGCAGUGGGGAAUAUUGCACAAUGGGCGCAAGCCUGAUGCAGCGACGCCGCGUGGGGGAUGACGGCCUUCGGGUUGUAAACUCCUUUCGCAAUCGACGAAGCCUUUUGGUGACGGUAGGUUGAGAAGAAGCACCGGCUAACUACGUG
This 468-nucleotide ribosomal RNA is filed under the name uncultured bacterium. RNAcentral describes it as "partial 16S ribosomal RNA". It matches the Rfam family "Bacterial small subunit ribosomal RNA", at positions 28 to 507 of the family's 1533-position model. The record is from RNAcentral.